This 486-nucleotide ribosomal RNA is filed under the name uncultured bacterium. RNAcentral's name for it is "partial 16S ribosomal RNA". It matches the Rfam family "Bacterial small subunit ribosomal RNA", at positions 30 to 507 of the family's 1533-position model. The record is from RNAcentral.
AUUGAACGCUGGCGGCAUGCCUUACACAUGCAAGUCGAACGGCAGCACGGGUGCUUGCACCUGGUGGCGAGUGGCGAACGGGUGAGUAAUACAUCGGAACAUGUCCGGUAGUGGGGGAUAGCCCGGCGAAAACCGGAUUAAUACCGCAUACGAUCUACGGAUGAAAGCGGGGGACCUUCGGGCCUCGCGCUAUAGGGUUGGCCGAUGGCUGAUUAGCUAGUUGGUGGGGUAAAGGCCUACCAAGGCGACGAUCAGUAGCUGGUCUGAGAGGACGACCAGCCACACUGGGACUGAGACACGGCCCAGACUCCUACGGGAGGCAGCAGUGGGGAAUUUUGGACAAUGGGCGAAAGCCUGAUCCAGCAAUGCCGCGUGUGUGAAGAAGGCCUUCGGGUUGUAAAGCACUUUUGUCCGGAAAGAAAUCCUUGGCCCUAAUACGGUCGGGGGAUGACGGUACCGGAAGAAUAAGCACCGGCUAACUACGUG